Molecule: non-coding RNA, 47 nt
Organism: Ailuropoda melanoleuca (giant panda)
Lineage: Eukaryota; Metazoa; Chordata; Mammalia; Carnivora; Ursidae
Source: Rfam
CCAAAGGCUCUUCUCGGAGCCACCUCACUUGGCGGGAAAAGACCUGU